Molecule: ribosomal RNA, 396 nt
Filed under: uncultured bacterium
Lineage: Bacteria
Description: bacterial SSU rRNA
Rfam family: Bacterial small subunit ribosomal RNA
Source: RNAcentral
GACGAACGCUGGCGGCGUGCUUAACACAUGCAAGUCGAGCGGUAAGGCCCUUUCGGGGGUACACGAGCGGCGAACGGGUGAGUAACACGUGGGUGACCUGCCCUUAGCUCUGGGAUAAGCCUGGGAAACUGGGUCUAAUACCGGAUAUGACCUCAUGACUCAUGUUGUGGGGUGGAAAGCCUUGUGCGGCUAGGGAUGGGCCCGCGGUCUAUCAGCUUGUUGGUGGGGUAAUUGCCUACCAAGGCGACGACGGGUAGCCGGCCUGAGAGGGCGACCGGCCACACUGGGACUGAGACACGGCCCAGACUCCUACGGGAGGCAGCAGUGGGGAAUCUUGCGCAAUGGGCGAAAGCCUGACGCAGCGACGCCGCGUGAGGGAUGACGGCCUGGUGUAAC